This 415-nucleotide ribosomal RNA is filed under the name uncultured bacterium. Its description in RNAcentral is "bacterial SSU rRNA". It matches the Rfam family "Bacterial small subunit ribosomal RNA", at positions 8 to 437 of the family's 1533-position model. The record is from RNAcentral.
AGAGUUUGAUCCUGGCUCAGAAUCAACGCUGGCGGCGUGCCUAACACAUGCAAGUCGCACGAGAAAGGGACUUCGGUCCUGAGUACAGUGGCGCACGGGUGAGUAACACGUGAAUCAUCUACCUUCGAGUGGGGAAUAACUGAGAGAAAUCUUAGCUAAUACCGCAUAAUACCUACGGGUCAAAGCAGCAAUGCGCUUGAAGAGGAGUUCGCGGCAGAUUAGUUAGUUGGCGGGGUAAUGGCCCACCAAGACGAUGAUCUGUAUCCGGCCUGAGAGGGCGCACGGACACACUGGAACUGAAACACGGUCCAGACUCCUACGGGAGGCAGCAGUGGGGAAUUUUGCGCAAUGGGGGAAACCCUGACGCAGCAACGCCGCGUGGAGGAUGAAAUCCCUUGGGAUGUAAACUCCUUUC